Molecule: ribosomal RNA, 946 nt
Filed under: uncultured Cupriavidus sp.
Lineage: Bacteria; Pseudomonadati; Pseudomonadota; Betaproteobacteria; Burkholderiales; Burkholderiaceae
Description: bacterial SSU rRNA
Rfam family: Bacterial small subunit ribosomal RNA
Source: RNAcentral
UGCUUACACAUGCAGUCCAACGGCAGCACGGGAGCAUCCUGGUGGCGAGUGGCGAACGGGUGAGUAAUACAUCGGAACGUGCCCUGUCGUGGGGGAUAACUAGUCGAAAGAUUAGCUAAUACCGCAUACGACCUGAGGGUGAAAGCGGGGGACCGUAAGGCCUCGCGCGAUAGGAGCGGCCGAUGUCUGAUUAGCUAGUUGGUGGGGUAAAGGCCCACCAAGGCGACGAUCAGUAGCUGGUCUGAGAGGACGAUCAGCCGCACUGGGACUGAGACACGGCCCAUACUCCUACGGGAGGCAGCAAUGGGGAAUUUUGGACAAUGGGGGCAACCCUGAUCCAGCAAUGCCGAGUGUGUGAAGAAGGCCUUCUGGGUUGUAAAGCGCUUUUGUCCGGAAAGAAAUCCCUUGCCCUAAUACGGCGGGGGGAUGACGGUACCGGAAGAAUAAGCACCGGCUAACUACGUGCCAGCAGCCGCGGUAAUACGUAGGGUGCGAGCGUUAAUCGGAAUUACUGGGCGUAAAGCGUGCGCAGGCGGUUUUGUAAGACAGGCGUGAAAUCCCCGAGCUCAACUUGGGAAUGGCGCUUGUGACUGCAAGGCUAGAGUAUGUCAGAGGGGGGUAGAAUUCCACGUGUAGCAGUGAAAUGCGUAGAGAUGUGGAGGAAUACCGAUGGCGAAGGCAGCCCCCUGGGACGUCACUGACGCUCAUGCACGAAAGCGUGGGGAGCAAACAGGAUUAGAUACCCUGGUAGUCCACGCCCUAAACGAUGUCAACUAGUUGUUGGGGAUUCAUUUCUUCAGUAACGUAGCUAACGCGUGAAGUUGACCGCCUGGGGAGUACGGUCGCAAGAUUAAAACUCAAAGGAAUUGACGGGGACCCGCACAAGCGGUGGAUGAUGUGGAUUAAUUCGAUGCAACGCGAAAAACCUUACCUACCCUUGACAUGC